Molecule: ribosomal RNA, 2849 nt
Filed under: Escherichia coli
Lineage: Bacteria; Pseudomonadati; Pseudomonadota; Gammaproteobacteria; Enterobacterales; Enterobacteriaceae
Description: bacterial LSU rRNA
Rfam family: Bacterial large subunit ribosomal RNA
Source: RNAcentral
UUAAGCGACUAAGCGUACACGGUGGAUGCCCUGGCAGUCAGAGGCGAUGAAGGACGUGCUAAUCUGCGAUAAGCGUCGGUAAGGUGAUAUGAACCGUUAUAACCGGCGAUUUCCGAAUGGGGAAACCCAGUGUGUUUCGACACACUAUCAUUAACUGAAUCCAUAGGUUAAUGAGGCGAACCGGGGGAACUGAAACAUCUAAGUACCCCGAGGAAAAGAAAUCAACCGAGAUUCCCCCAGUAGCGGCGAGCGAACGGGGAGGAGCCCAGAGCCUGAAUCAGUGUGUGUGUUAGUGGAAGCGUCUGGAAAGGCGCGCGAUACAGGGUGACAGCCCCGUACACAAAAAUGCACAUGCUGUGAGCUCGAUGAGUAGGGCGGGACACGUGGUAUCCUGUCUGAAUAUGGGGGGACCAUCCUCCAAGGCUAAAUACUCCUGACUGACCGAUAGUGAACCAGUACCGUGAGGGAAAGGCGAAAAGAACCCCGGCGAGGGGAGUGAAAAAGAACCUGAAACCGUGUACGUACAAGCAGUGGGAGCACAGAGCAAUCUGUGUGACUGCGUACCUUUUGUAUAAUGGGUCAGCGACUUAUAUUCUGUAGCAAGGUUAACCGAAUAGGGGAGCCGAAGGGAAACCGAGUCUUAACUGGGCGUUAAGUUGCAGGGUAUAGACCCGAAACCCGGUGAUCUAGCCAUGGGCAGGUUGAAGGUUGGGUAACACUAACUGGAGGACCGAACCGACUAAUGUUGAAAAAUUAGCGGAUGACUUGUGGCUGGGGGUGAAAGGCCAAUCAAACCGGGAGAUAGCUGGUUCUCCCCGAAAGCUAUUUAGGUAGCGCCUCGUGAAUUCAUCUCCGGGGGUAGAGCACUGUUUCGGCAAGGGGGUCAUCCCGACUUACCAACCCGAUGCAAACUGCGAAUACCGGAGAAUGUUAUCACGGGAGACACACGGCGGGUGCUAACGUCCGUCGUGAAGAGGGAAACAACCCAGACCGCCAGCUAAGGUCCCAAAGUCAUGGUUAAGUGGGAAACGAUGUGGGAAGGCCCAGACAGCCAGGAUGUUGGCUUAGAAGCAGCCAUCAUUUAAAGAAAGCGUAAUAGCUCACUGGUCGAGUCGGCCUGCGCGGAAGAUGUAACGGGGCUAAACCAUGCACCGAAGCUGCGGCAGCGACGCUNAUGCUGGAGGUAUCAGAAGUGCGAAUGCUGACAUAAGUAACGAUAAAGCGGGUGAAAAGCCCGCUCGCCGGAAGACCAAGGGUUCCUGUCCAACGUUAAUCGGGGCAGGGUGAGUCGACCCCUAAGGCGAGGCCGAAAGGCGUAGUCGAUGGGAAACAGGUUAAUAUUCCUGUACUUGGUGUUACUGCGAAGGGGGGACGGAGAAGGCUAUGUUGGCCGGGCGACGGUUGUCCCGGUUUAAGCGUGUAGGCUGGUUUUCCAGGCAAAUCCGGAAAAUCAAGGCUGAGGCGUGAUGACGAGGCACUACGGUGCUGAAGCAACAAAUGCCCUGCUUCCAGGAAAAGCCUCUAAGCAUCAGGUAACAUCAAAUCGUACCCCAAACCGACACAGGUGGUCAGGUAGAGAAUACCAAGGCGCUUGAGAGAACUCGGGUGAAGGAACUAGGCAAAAUGGUGCCGUAACUUCGGGAGAAGGCACGCUGAUAUGUAGGUGAAGUCCCUCGCGGAUGGAGCUGAAAUCAGUCGAAGAUACCAGCUGGCUGCAACUGUUUAUUAAAAACACAGCACUGUGCAAACACGAAAGUGGACGUAUACGGUGUGACGCCUGCCCGGUGCCGGAAGGUUAAUUGAUGGGGUUAGCGCAAGCGAAGCUCUUGAUCGAAGCCCCGGUAAACGGCGGCCGUAACUAUAACGGUCCUAAGGUAGCGAAAUUCCUUGUCGGGUAAGUUCCGACCUGCACGAAUGGCGUAAUGAUGGCCAGGCUGUCUCCACCCGAGACUCAGUGAAAUUGAACUCGCUGUGAAGAUGCAGUGUACCCGCGGCAAGACGGAAAGACCCCGUGAACCUUUACUAUAGCUUGACACUGAACAUUGAGCCUUGAUGUGUAGGAUAGGUGGGAGGCUUUGAAGUGUGGACGCCAGUCUGCAUGGAGCCGACCUUGAAAUACCACCCUUUAAUGUUUGAUGUUCUAACGUUGACCCGUAAUCCGGGUUGCGGACAGUGUCUGGUGGGUAGUUUGACUGGGGCGGUCUCCUCCUAAAGAGUAACGGAGGAGCACGAAGGUUGGCUAAUCCUGGUCGGACAUCAGGAGGUUAGUGCAAUGGCAUAAGCCAGCUUGACUGCGAGCGUGACGGCGCGAGCAGGUGCGAAAGCAGGUCAUAGUGAUCCGGUGGUUCUGAAUGGAAGGGCCAUCGCUCAACGGAUAAAAGGUACUCCGGGGAUAACAGGCUGAUACCGCCCAAGAGUUCAUAUCGACGGCGGUGUUUGGCACCUCGAUGUCGGCUCAUCACAUCCUGGGGCUGAAGUAGGUCCCAAGGGUAUGGCUGUUCGCCAUUUAAAGUGGUACGCGAGCUGGGUUUAGAACGUCGUGAGACAGUUCGGUCCCUAUCUGCCGUGGGCGCUGGAGAACUGAGGGGGGCUGCUCCUAGUACGAGAGGACCGGAGUGGACGCAUCACUGGUGUUCGGGUUGUCAUGCCAAUGGCACUGCCCGGUAGCUAAAUGCGGAAGAGAUAAGUGCUGAAAGCAUCUAAGCACGAAACUUGCCCCGAGAUGAGUUCUCCCUGACUCCUUGAGAGUCCUGAAGGAACGUUGAAGACGACGACGUUGAUAGGCCGGGUGUGUAAGCGCAGCGAUGCGUUGAGCUAACCGGUACUAAUGAACCGUGAGGCUUAACCUU